This 28-nucleotide small RNA is filed under the name Bombyx mori (domestic silkworm). Its description in RNAcentral is "piRNA piR-bmo-2011127". The record is from RNAcentral. Lineage: Eukaryota; Metazoa; Arthropoda; Insecta; Lepidoptera; Bombycidae.
UAGUUGUAAAGUUCGAGCCAUGCGCUGA